Molecule: long non-coding RNA, 594 nt
Filed under: Oncorhynchus mykiss (rainbow trout)
Lineage: Eukaryota; Metazoa; Chordata; Actinopteri; Salmoniformes; Salmonidae
Description: lncRNA (ENSOMYG00000060366.1)
Source: RNAcentral
UAUAUUUGUGUGUGUGUGUGUGUGUGUGUGUGUGUCUUACAGGUAAAAAACAUGCUCCCAAAGGUUGACAGGGAAAGGGUGGCCAACUUCAUGUGCCACAACAUCCAGACGGCAGACAAAUAUUAUGCCAUGAAUUUAAAUCCAACCCAAGCAAAUGAAACCAGGGCACUCUUUGAGGCUGCACUGAAGGGGGAAGAUAACACAGUCGCCGCAGAGAACCAGCCCUCCACCUCAGGAGAAAGAAAGCAGAAGGUGAGAGAGGAUGCCUCCCUCUCCGACAGGAGCACCACCCCUGAAGAGACCAAGGUGAUGUACCAGGAGUCUGGCACGUCCGCCGGUGACUCGGAAGAGGAGGAAGAGGAUGAAGAUGAGGAACAGAUGGCCAGACAACUUCCAGAGACACCUUCCAAGGUGACCAAUCCUCAGGUGGAGAUGGAACUUACCCCAAAGAGGAAGCGGAGCAUCUGCACACGCCGCAUGGAGGUCGCCAUCAGCCCCAUGCUAGUCUCACCCCUCAAAGUGAGGCUCAAGUCGCCCCCCCCACCAGUCCCUCAUUGUCACAUUAAAAGGGAUGCAACAACUAAACUCAAAUAA